Molecule: transfer RNA, 69 nt
Filed under: Rattus norvegicus (Norway rat)
Lineage: Eukaryota; Metazoa; Chordata; Mammalia; Rodentia; Muridae
Rfam family: tRNA
About the family: Transfer RNA (tRNA) molecules are approximately 80 nucleotides in length. Their secondary structure includes four short double-helical elements and three loops (D, anti-codon, and T loops).
Source: Rfam by way of RNAcentral
GGGGAUUUAGCUCAGUGGUAGAGCACUUGCCUAGCAAGUGGAAGGCCCUGGGUUCGGUCCCCAGCUCUG